GACGAACGCUGGCGGCGUGCUUAACACAUGCAAGUCGAACGGAAAGGCCUCUUUCGGGUGGUACUCUCGUGGCGCACGGGUGUGUAACACAUGAGUAUCCUGUCCUUGUCAUUGUGAUAACUUUUCGAAACUGGGGCUAAUACCCGGUAGGAGCUCCCUCUGCAUGGUGGGGGGUUGAAAGUUUCGGCGGGUUGGGGUUGACUCGCGGGUUAUCAGCUUGUUGGUGGGGUGGUGGCUUACCAAGGCUUUGACGGGUAUCCGGGCUGAGAGGGUGACCGGGCAAAUUGGGGCUGGGGUAAGGGCCAAAAUCCUACGGGGAGCAGGAGUGGGGAAUUUUGCACAAUGGGUGGAAAGCUGAUGCAACAAACGCGUGGGGGGGAUGGCGGGCUUCGGGAUGUAAAACGGUUUCGCUCAUGAAGAAGCUGUGUGUGACGGUAGUGGGUAAAGAAGCACCGGCUAACUACGUG
This 467-nucleotide ribosomal RNA is filed under the name uncultured bacterium. RNAcentral's name for it is "partial 16S ribosomal RNA". It matches the Rfam family "Bacterial small subunit ribosomal RNA", at positions 28 to 507 of the family's 1533-position model. The record is from RNAcentral.